RNAcentral lists this ribosomal RNA (230 nucleotides) under uncultured Sphingobacteriales bacterium. RNAcentral's name for it is "partial 16S ribosomal RNA". It matches the Rfam family "Bacterial small subunit ribosomal RNA", at positions 1150 to 1382 of the family's 1533-position model. The record is from RNAcentral. Lineage: Bacteria; Pseudomonadati; Bacteroidota; Sphingobacteriia; Sphingobacteriales.
UGCCUACGCAAGUAGUGAGGAAGGUGGGAUGACGCAAAUCAGCACGGCCCUUACGUCCAGGGCUACACACGUGCUCAAUGGCCGGUACAAAGGGCAGCUACCUGGUGACAGGAUGCUAAUCUCAAAAGCCGGUCUCAGUUCGGAUCGGAGUCUGCAACCCGACUCCGUGAAGUUGGAUUCGCUAGUAAUCGCGCAUCAGCCAUGGCGCGGUGAAUACGUUCCCGGGCCUU